UAAUCCAUUUUGUAUCGCUUCGCUUUUAACUCCGAGUGUUUCGUUUGUAUGGUCUCAAACUCAAAUGGCUGCUUCUGCUUCUCUCCAGAUAGGAAUCGGCCCUUCCGUUUCCUCCCACCAUUUCUCCGCCAUCUCCAAUGCUCUUCCUCCUCAUCGUCUCUUCCUCCUCCGCUCUCCUUCUUCUCCCCGCCGCUCCACCGGAUUCCGCUCCUCCCGCUCUCCUCUUCUUCUUCGCCCUCGCGCCUCCUCCGACGACCUCUCUCCCUCUCCAGGAGUUGAGAAUCUAGUAAUCAUCGGUUCUGGUCCUGCUGGAUAUACUGCAGCCAUAUAUGCAGCUCGGGCAAAUUUAAAACCGGUAGUGUUCGAGGGUUUCCAAGCAGGUGGUGUUCCUGGAGGGCAGCUAAUGACUACUACAGAAGUCGAGAAUUUUCCUGGGUUUCCGGAUGGAAUUACUGGUCCAGAUCUAAUGGAUAGGAUGCGGAAGCAAGCAGAGCGAUGGGGAGCUGAAUUAUUUCAGGAAGAUGUGGAGUCUAUAGAUUUAAAGAAUAGACCGUUUACUGUGCAAAGUAGUGAACGCAAGGUUAAGUGCCAUAGUGUAAUAUAUGCAACAGGAGCGACAGCAAAACGACUUAGGUUACCUCGUGAAGAUGAAUUUUGGAGUAGGGGAAUUAGUGCUUGUGCAAUUUGUGAUGGAGCAUCACCCUUGUUUAAAGGGCAAGUACUUGCUGUUGUUGGAGGAGGUGAUACAGCAACAGAGGAAGCCUUGUACUUGACUAAGUAUGCUCGUCAUGUUCAUUUACUUGUACGUAAGGAUCAACUUAGAGCUUCUAAAGCAAUGCAAGAUAGAGUUUUCAACUGUCCAAAUGUUACCUUGCACUUUAACACGGAGGCUGUGGACAUUGUUAGCAAUACAAAAGGGCAAAUGUCUGGCAUUUUAGUUCGAAAAGCUGAUACUGGGGAAGAAUCUGUGCUUGAGGCAAAGGGUUUAUUUUACGGAAUAGGUCAUUCACCAAACAGCCAGUUAUUGAAAGGCCAGGUUGAGCUUGAUAGCUCUGGGUAUGUGUUAGUGCAGGAUGGUACUGCAAAAACUUCUGUGGAAGGUGUAUUUGCAGCUGGAGACGUGCAGGAUCAUGAGUGGAGGCAAGCUAUCACAGCUGCUGGUUCUGGAUGCGUUGCUGCUUUAUCAGUUGAGCGCUAUCUUGUGAGCGAGAAUCUUCUUAUUGAGUUCCACCAGCCCCAAACCGAAGAGGUUAAGAAGGAACCAACGGAUAGAGACGUUCAAGAGGGUUUUGAUAUCACACUUACAAAGCAUAAAGGCCAGUAUGCUCUUCGGAAACUAUACCAUGAAAGCCCCAGGCUUAUAUGUGUACUAUACACAUCACCAACGUGUGGCCCAUGUAGGACUCUGAAGCCAAUUCUCAGCAAGGUGAUAGAUGAAUUUGAUCAAAAUGUGCAUUUUGUUGAAAUUGAUAUUGAAGAAGACCAAGAAAUAGCAGAAGCAGCUGGGAUUAUGGGUACUCCAUGCGUGCAGUUCUUCAAAAAUAAGGAGAUGAUCAGGAAUAUACCUGGAGUCAAAAUGAAGAGCGAGUACAGAGAAUUUAUUGAGUCAAACAAAUGAGGUUGUUAAGUUAUUGCCCUUCAUCUUCUGCCUUCAAUUUUGUUUCAUUUGUAUUAAUCAAUAAGCCAAGUGGAAAAAAUGCUUUUAAAAUAUUUCAUGUCCUGUAACAUUCAAAUUUUACAUUGUAGAUUUUAGAUACAGAGUUGAGAAAAGGGCAAAAAAAAAAAAAAAAAAAGAAGAACUCUUCAUGUGCAGAACAGGCAUUCAUUGGGGAGGGGAUGACUGCUUUGGUUCGUCCUCAAAUUCCUUGAUUGUAGUUUUUGGAUGAAUAAGCCCUCGUAAGUAUUUUCUUCACCACGAUAUGGACAUCGUACAAAUGUAGAAAAGAAAGCUCAUGGGUUUGCUGGAAUGCGGGUCGUUCGGGGGUGGUUGUGCGUGUGUCUAUCGUUCAUGGGAGCUUGUUUUGUGGGAUUUGUAGUGUAUGUCAGAUAUGAGAAAUCAAGCUUUCACUCGAAAUCAAGCUUGUUUUCGCGCUCGUGUUAUUCAUUGUCCACUAGCUGAAGUAGCCACUCCCUGAGAGAAGACCAUGAACAUGAUGAAUUCAACUCUCUGAUCGGGCUCUUGUGAGUGAAUCGAUGUCCAAUCUUCGAAAUCAGAAGGGCAUCUUGGCAACGUUGAUGGUUAGUCCAUGGAUGUCAAUGGAACAGACCGCCCCAAGUUUGCAAUAAAUGGGUGAUUCAAAAGCAUGUUGAUCAUCCUUCACCAAGCAAUUUCUGAUAAAAUCUUUCCCUUCUUCCGAUAGAUCUUUUGGAAUCUUCGACAAUUCCUUUUGGAUCCCAACUUUGAUCUCUAGUGAUGGCCGCCCAAAGGUUUUAUUUUAUAUCAUUUGAAAAUUGCACACAAAGCUCUCACAUUUUUAAACAAUUCCUCCUUUUUCUCUUCCCAUUGUUUUAAUUAUAUAACAAAUUAAAUCACAAAUUGUCAUA
Benincasa hispida (wax gourd) is the source of this 2544-nucleotide non-coding RNA. Lineage: Eukaryota; Viridiplantae; Streptophyta; Magnoliopsida; Cucurbitales; Cucurbitaceae. The record is from RefSeq and is a predicted model, not a curated record.